UACGUAGGGGGCGAGCGUUGUCCGGAUUUAUUGGGCGUAAAGCGCGCGUAGGCGGUACGGCAAGUCGGCCGUGAAAGCGCCAGGCUCAACCUGGCGAGGUCGGGCGAGACUGCCGCACUAGAGGCAGGCAGAGGGCGGUGGAAUUCCGGGAGUAGUGGUGGAAUGCGUAGAGAUCCGGAGGAACACCAGUGGCGAAGGCGGCCGUCUGGGCCUGUCCUGACGCUGAGGCGCGAAAGCGUGGGGAGCGAUCCGG
RNAcentral lists this ribosomal RNA (253 nucleotides) under uncultured bacterium. Its description in RNAcentral is "partial 16S ribosomal RNA". It matches the Rfam family "Bacterial small subunit ribosomal RNA", at positions 524 to 776 of the family's 1533-position model. The record is from RNAcentral.